GAUGAACGCUGGCGGCGUGCCUAAUACAUGCAAGUAGAACGCUGAAGGAGGAGCUUGCUCUUUCCGGAUGAGUUGCGAACGGGUGAGUAACGCGUAGGUAACCUGCCUGGUAGCGGGGGAUAACUAUUGGAAACGAUAGCUAAUACCGCAUAACAGUAGAUAUUGCAUGAUAUCUGCUUGAAAGGGGCAAUUGCUCCACUACCAGAUGGACCUGCGUUGUAUUAGCUAGUUGGUGAGGUAACGGCUCACCAAGGCGACGAUACAUAGCCGACCUGAGAGGGUGAUCGGCCACACUGGGACUGAGACACGGCCCAGACUCCUACGGGAGGCAGCAGUAGGGAAUCUUCGGCAAUGGACGGAAGUCUGACCGAGCAACGCCGCGUGAGUGAAGAAGGUUUUCGGAUCGUAAAGCUCUGUUGUAAGAGAAGAACGAGUGUGAGAGUGGAAAGUUCACACUGUGACGGUAUCUUACCAGAAAGGCGG
This 483-nucleotide ribosomal RNA is filed under the name Streptococcus australis. RNAcentral describes it as "bacterial SSU rRNA". It matches the Rfam family "Bacterial small subunit ribosomal RNA", at positions 28 to 494 of the family's 1533-position model. The record is from RNAcentral. Lineage: Bacteria; Bacillati; Bacillota; Bacilli; Lactobacillales; Streptococcaceae.